Molecule: ribosomal RNA, 201 nt
Filed under: uncultured bacterium
Lineage: Bacteria
Description: partial 16S ribosomal RNA
Rfam family: Bacterial small subunit ribosomal RNA
Source: RNAcentral
GCAGGCUGCAACCCGCCUGCAUGAAGUUGGAAUCGCUAGUAAUCGCGGAUCAGCAUGCCGCGGUGAAUACGUUCCCGGGCCUUGUACACACCGCCCGUCACACCAUGAGAGUCGGGAACACCCGAAGUCCGUAGCCUAACCGCAAGGGGGGCGCGGCCGAAGGUGGGUUCGAUAAUUGGGGUGAAGUCGUAACAAGGUACC